AAGAAAUUAUCAAAUAGCGUCUUAACUUGAUUUUUAACACCAUGCUACAAAUUGAAAGAGAUUACCUAGUAACCUUAACUAACCAAUCGAAAUCAAGUUACAAAAUCACAUCAACAAUCCAAAAUUAACGAGAUAUAAUUGAAUUUUCAAGCUUUUUCAAUAGCUCAACAAUGGUGAUUUCUGAAUUUUCCACCCAGCCUUCGCAAAUCCUGUGAUAAACAACCGAUUUGUUUUUAACAAACAAAUAUUUUACUCCUCCGACCUCCUUUCUUCCUUUGUUUCUCUCUCAUUUUCUCUUCAAAUCUCAGUUUACUCCUUUUCCAUAAGUACAGUUUCUGAAGUUCUAACAAUCAUUUAAAGCUCCUACUUUACCUUCUAUAAGAAUAUUUCUUUCUUCAAGUGUAUUGUUUGAGCUGUUUUCAUUAGUUUGUAUAAGGGGAAGGUGGUUUGGGACAGGGAAGAAGACGAGAGUGGGAGGGUUAUUUUCCUUUUCUUAAAUUGGUGUAAAA
Molecule: long non-coding RNA, 509 nt
Filed under: Nicotiana benthamiana
Lineage: Eukaryota; Viridiplantae; Streptophyta; Magnoliopsida; Solanales; Solanaceae
Description: long non-coding RNA (NBEN_LNC016671)
Source: RNAcentral